GUUGGAAAAGGGAGGAAUAUUUUAAUAGCCUUCCAGAUAGCUGAAGACAUUCAUCUUUGACACGACAGCAAAGUUCAACAAGUGGUAGGUUCUUCAAAGUUGGUUGCAAUGUGGGAUCUGACAACCCUAUCGAUGAUUUCAUACUCUGUCACAUCGCUCUGUCUUAGACUCUCGGUACAUAUUUCAUGAUAGCUGGCAUUCGACGUUUUGAAAAUAUUGAUUCACUAAGUUAUGCAUAUUUUCCAAAUGUUAACACAUUUUGUUAUACAAUACGAAAAAGUAACACUUUUUAAUCUCCACCAGUCUCAUCAGAAAAGCCUAGACAUUGGAAAGCUGUCGAGCUCACAGGACAGAUACAAAUUUUACAAAAUUCAAAUUUCCUUUUGAAAGCUUGGUGAUCAUUGGUGAUAAAUAUUGUGGGUUGUUUUCUUAAAAGACAGGCUCACUUAGUUCAUUUUCGAGCAAAUGUCUGCCAAACACCCCAGUUGGAAUAACCAUGGUUAUUUGGCAGCUCAUUCAGCUUGCAACUCAAGCAGAUGAGUGCUCGCCCUCAAAACCAUCACCCUCUGGUGUGCAGCAGAAAUGCUUUCUGUGUACUUCCCAUUUUGUCACAGGGAACAUUAAAAAGAUGUCUACUGAAGGGUCAAGAUUUAAUAAAAUUAUAACCUUUAUGCUUCAUCAAGGACAUUCUUAGGAGAAACUGGACUCUGCUUCUGUCCGUCUUGCUGUCUACUGCGAGUGUGUGAAGAACGCCAGCAGUGCUGGUAGUGUUGUGCCAGGCAGGACUCGUGCUCAGGUGCCAACCGCUGAGCCCACGAGGCCUGUGCACCAUUAGUGCAAUGCUCAGCCAGCGACAAAGGCGAAGGGCGUUCACCUGGGCACCCUCACACUUGAAGAACACAGCUCUCAUCUUUAUUGCUCAAGGUACUUUAGGUGGCAGAUGACAGAAAUCCAACAAGUUGCUUAAGCAAACAAAACAAAACAAAACGAUAUAUGUGCUCACAUAGCUGGGCAGGCUUGAGCGGAUCUCGCCUCCAGCAUGACUGGAUUCAGGGCUCAAAGAAUGUUAACGCCUCUCUCUCCCUCUUUCUCUCUCCACAUCUCAACUCUCUUUUCUCUGUACUUUGGCUUAAUUCUCAUCUCCUAUAAUGGGCGCUCUGCGUAUGUCAGGAAACACAGCCACCAGCAGCUCUAAAACUACACCUGCUUGUAAUUCCAGGAAGAGAGGUCUUUUACGUAGUGUCUGGCCAUCCAGUCUCAUGGAAGAUUCCAGGUAGAGAGGUCUUUUACGUAGUGUCUGGCCAUCCAGUCUCAUGGAAGAUUCCAGGAAGAGAGGUCUUUUACGUAGUGUCUGGCCAUCCAGUCUCAUGGAAGAUUCCAGGUAGAGAGGUCUUUUACGUAGUGUCUGGCCAUCCGGUCUCAUGGAAGAUUCCAGGUAGCCCAGCUAGAGCCAGGUAUCCAUCCCCUGCACCUCUGCGGGAGCCAGAGGUCCGGCUGGGUGGCCACGUGGGCGGCCAGCGGGGAGGUGCUGAGCCUGGCGGCCCCAUCAGAGCCUCAUGAUUGGCACAGGGAGAGGGCUGUGGCCCCAGGAGAGAGGGAAAGCGCCGGGCAGACAACAUAGCAGAUAUCCAUGACAAAUACUGCACUGCCAAGGUUCUCCUCUGCUUUGAGUGUUUCUAAUCAAGAGAGAAUAGAGAUCAGUGAACUGCUCUCAACUCCAUGUUCUCUUGUGUCUCAGCCCCACCACCUCACUGCUAAACCCCGUGCUGCAACGCCAGAGCAGACCCAAUUCCACGGAGGAGCCUGUGUCUGAAGCUCUUUUCUGUUAGGGUCAAAAGUGAGCUAAUGUCUUCUAAAUGGAACAACCUGGAGGGCUUUCUGGAAAAUACAGAAGGUGUUCAGGGAGAAUGGGCGUCAUAAAUAACGGAAGACAUGGCCCUUGCUAGAAGCUACAUAGGAAUACCUGGUUAAAAAGUACGUUUCAGGAGCAUUUUAAAAGAAAGAGCCAAAAUAAAAGGUGGCUGCGUGGGGCUGGCCCCGUGGCCGAGUGGUUAAGUUCGCGCGCUCCGCUGCAGGCGGCCCAGUGUUUCCUUGGUUCGAAUCCUGGGCGUGGACAUGGCACUGUUCGUCAGACCACGCUGAGGCAGCGUCCCACAUGCCACAACUAGAAGGAGCCACAACGAA
Molecule: long non-coding RNA, 2184 nt
Filed under: Equus asinus (donkey)
Lineage: Eukaryota; Metazoa; Chordata; Mammalia; Perissodactyla; Equidae
Description: lncRNA (ENSEASG00005027628.1)
Source: RNAcentral